Molecule: long non-coding RNA, 1421 nt
Filed under: Homo sapiens (human)
Lineage: Eukaryota; Metazoa; Chordata; Mammalia; Primates; Hominidae
Description: long non-coding RNA NONHSAT162506.1
Source: RNAcentral
GAAAAUAAAACUUCUUCCUGGACACCUGAAUCAAAGACCAGUAGAAAGAGUUUGCUAAAAUCUGAAAAAGAAAAAAAAAUUUCAGAAGAAUGGGGCUUUAAGGAUAUUUCUACUGCUCAGCAAAUGUUGAAGAGGGCACAGAAAAUGAAAUCGAAGAAACUAAAGAAAAAAAUAGAUUCCACUGUGCGUCUAGCCUUAUUCAAAAACAAUGAAAAUAAAGUGUCUCUUCCAAAAUCACCAAAGAUGGUACAGCCCAGAAGAGAUGGUUACUUUGAAGGUAUAGAAGAAGACCCUAUCCACAAAGAUACCACUGCAAAUGAAAAAUUAGAACGGAAUAGAGAAUAUACAUACCAAUGGCUUCACACACAGGUUGGGGUUCAUGAAACGACUAGUUCCAGAAAUAUGAAAUGCAAUCACUUUUUGCCUGAGUUAGAUCCAGAUGUACUUAAUGGUGGAAGAGUUCAGCUUGUGGCAAGACUUGUAAGCAGAGAAGACACGGAUUUAGACCUUUUUUCCAUGACCAAUGGAAGUGCUUUGUCUGUGAACAGAGAAAAAAAAAAUCAGGCACACAGACACUCAGCAGGAUCUUCAAGUUGUUCAGUUAAGGGAAUACCAAUAUCGCCAAUAAUAACAAAUACAAGACCUUCUAAAAAAGAACGUAUAUCAUUCCGAGACAAUCCUGUACAACUCAGUGGUGGAUGGGGAAGUGGCAAAAAGAAGGCGAACAUUUCCAACUAAUCCUUAAGGCUUCAGCAUUCAAAACAUGUGGCAAACUGUUUCAUGAAGUCUGGAUAUCUAGUCAUGUUACCAACUGGAUACAAGGUUUUAGACUCCUAUAUUUAAUUUGGUUUAUUAUACGUAUUUCACAAGUUUGUUUUCUAGUGGAGCUAUCUUAUUUCUCUUCUAUAAAAUGUAGUUUUGCAUUUCUUCCUGUGUUCAUGUGGAAUGGCCUCCAGAAAAUUCUUAAGAUAUUGUAAUGGAACUUGCAUAUCCAGUUUUUUUAGUUUUAAUUUUUAUGACACAUGUAUUCCAGAUAGCUUUUGUUACCAAUAAUAAAUAUUAAUGCUAUACACAUAAAAGAGAAUGUAACUGUCUUACUGAUGCUGUUUAAUGUAGCAAUAAUGAUUAAUAUAUUAAUAAACUUUAUUAGAUUAUCGUACUUGAGUAUUUCAAAGAUAAAUUAAUACAUGGAAUAACUGAAAAUAAACAGUGACAAAGGCCUUUAUUUUUUAAUUUUAAAUUAUCUUAAAUAGAUUAGAGAGUAAUGAUAAAAUGUAUAGUCAGUUUAAAUUAAAAUAGAAAUUUAAGUAAUUACCAAUUGGAUAAUUGGAUAUUUUAUCUGUAACGUCAGAUGUUUAUUACCCUUAUUUAUAGAGGUAGAUGCUAAUUUUGGUUCAUUUACAUUAUUAUACUAAUUCAAG